AUAACGACUCUCGGCAACGGAUAUCUCGGCUCUCGCAUCGAUGAAGAACGUAGCAAAAUGCGAUACUUGGUGUGAAUUGCAGAAUCCCGUGAACCAUCGAGUUUUUGAACGCAAGUUGCGCUCGAAGCCAAUAGGUUUAGGGCACGUCUGCCUGGGCGUCUCGC
Molecule: ribosomal RNA, 164 nt
Filed under: Impatiens suksathanii
Lineage: Eukaryota; Viridiplantae; Streptophyta; Magnoliopsida; Ericales; Balsaminaceae
Description: Impatiens sp. SR-2013i 5.8S ribosomal RNA
Rfam family: 5.8S ribosomal RNA
About the family: 5.8S ribosomal RNA (5.8S rRNA) is a component of the large subunit of the eukaryotic ribosome. It is transcribed by RNA polymerase I as part of the 45S precursor that also contains 18S and 28S rRNA. Functionally, it is thought that 5.8S rRNA may be involved in ribosome translocation.
Source: RNAcentral